Molecule: ribosomal RNA, 1085 nt
Filed under: Enterococcus faecium
Lineage: Bacteria; Bacillati; Bacillota; Bacilli; Lactobacillales; Enterococcaceae
Description: bacterial SSU rRNA
Rfam family: Bacterial small subunit ribosomal RNA
Source: RNAcentral
UGCAGUCGAACGCUUCUUUUUCCACCGGAGCUUGCUCCACCGGAAAAAGAGGAGUGGCGAACGGGUGAGUAACACGUGGGUAACCUGCCCAUCAGAAGGGGAUAACACUUGGAAACAGGUGCUAAUACCGUAUAACAAUCGAAACCGCAUGGUUUUGAUUUGAAAGGCGCUUUCGGGUGUCGCUGAUGGAUGGACCCGCGGUGCAUUAGCUAGUUGGUGAGGUAACGGCUCACCAAGGCCACGAUGCAUAGCCGACCUGAGAGGGUGAUCGGCCACAUUGGGACUGAGACACGGCCCAAACUCCUACGGGAGGCAGCAGUAGGGAAUCUUCGGCAAUGGACGAAAGUCUGACCGAGCAACGCCGCGUGAGUGAAGAAGGUUUUCGGAUCGUAAAACUCUGUUGUUAGAGAAGAACAAGGAUGAGAGUAACUGUUCAUCCCUUGACGGUAUCUAACCAGAAAGCCACGGCUAACUACGUGCCAGCAGCCGCGGUAAUACGUAGGUGGCAAGCGUUGUCCGGAUUUAUUGGGCGUAAAGCGAGCGCAGGCGGUUUCUUAAGUCUGAUGUGAAAGCCCCCGGCUCAACCGGGGAGGGUCAUUGGAAACUGGGAGACUUGAGUGCAGAAGAGGAGAGUGGAAUUCCAUGUGUAGCGGUGAAAUGCGUAGAUAUAUGGAGGAACACCAGUGGCGAAGGCGGCUCUCUGGUCUGUAACUGACGCUGAGGCUCGAGAGCGUGCGGAGCAAACAGGAUUACAUACCCUGGUAGUCCACGCCGUAGACGAUGAGUGCUAAGUGUUGGAGGGUUUCCGCCCUUCAGUGCUGCAGCUAACGCAUUAAUCACUCCGCCAGCGGAGUACUACCGCAAGGUUGAUACUCAAAGGAAUUGACGGGGGCCCGCCCAACCGGUGCAGCAUGUGGUUGAAUUCCAAGCAAUACGAAGAACGUUACCAGGUCUUGACUUCCUUUGACCAUUCUUGAGAUAAAGCUUCCCCUUCAGGGGUAAACUGACCAGUGUUGUUGGUUGUCAUCAACUCUUGUCAUCAGAAGUUGGGUUUAUUUCCCCCAGCGAGGGCCACCCCUAAAUUU